GGUGGCUCUGUGGUAGAGUACUUGCCUUGCAUGCAUGAGGCCCUAGGUUAGAUUCCUCAGCACCA
RNAcentral lists this transfer RNA (65 nucleotides) under Dipodomys ordii (Ord's kangaroo rat). It matches the Rfam family "tRNA". Rfam says of the family: Transfer RNA (tRNA) molecules are approximately 80 nucleotides in length. Their secondary structure includes four short double-helical elements and three loops (D, anti-codon, and T loops). Further hydrogen bonds mediate the characteristic L-shaped molecular structure. tRNAs have two regions of fundamental functional importance: the anti-codon, which is responsible for specific mRNA codon recognition, and the 3' end, to which the tRNAs corresponding amino acid is attached (by aminoacyl-tRNA synthetases). tRNAs cope with the degeneracy of the genetic code in two manners: having more than one tRNA (with a specific anti-codon) for a particular amino acid; and 'wobble' base-pairing, i.e. permitting non-standard base-pairing at the 3rd anti-codon position. Lineage: Eukaryota; Metazoa; Chordata; Mammalia; Rodentia; Heteromyidae. The record is from Rfam by way of RNAcentral.